GAUGAAGAACGUAGCGAAAUGCGAUACUUGGUGUGAAUUGCAGAAUCCCGUGAACCAUCGAGCCUUUGAACGCAAGUUGCGCCCGAAGCCAUCAGGUUGAGGGCACGUCUGCCUGGGCGUCACAUAUCGUUGCCCAAUGCCUAUUGCAGUGCAAUAGGAAUUUCUAGGGCGAAUGAUGGCUUCCCGUGAGCGUUGUUGCCUCGCGGUUGGUUGAAAAUCGAGUCCUUGGUAGGGUGUGCCAUGGUAGAUGGUGGUCGAGUUAGAACGAUACCGAUCAUGUGCAUGCUCCCCAAAAUAUGGCCUCUAUGACCCACACGCGUCUUUUGACGCUCAUGACGAGACCUCAGGUCAGGCGGGGCUACCCGCUGAAUUUAAGCAUAUCAAUAAGCGGAGGA
RNAcentral lists this unclassified non-coding RNA (395 nucleotides) under soil metagenome. RNAcentral describes it as "partial contains 5.8S ribosomal RNA, internal transcribed spacer 2, and large subunit ribosomal RNA". The stretch from base 1 to 122 matches the Rfam family "5.8S ribosomal RNA", at positions 35 to 154 of the family's 154-position model. The record is from RNAcentral.